ACUCCUACGGGAGGCAGCAGUGGGGAAUAUUGGACAAUGGGCGCAAGCCUGAUCCAGCAAUGCCGCGUGAGUGAUGAAGGCCGUUAGGGUUGUAAAGCUCUUUUACCAGGGAUGAUAAUGACAGUACCUGGAGAAUAAGCUCCGGCUAACUCCGUGCCAGCAGCCGCGGUAAUACGGAGGGAGCUAGCGUUGUUCGGAAUUACUGGGCGUAAAGCGCGCGUAGGCGGUUACUCAAGUCAGAGGUGAAAGCCCGGGGCUCAACCCCGGAACUGCCUUUGAAACUAGGUGACUAGAAUCUUGGAGAGGUCAGUGGAAUUCCGAGUGUAGAGGUGAAAUUCGUAGAUAUUCGGAAGAACACCAGUGGCGAAGGCGACUGACUGGACAAGUAUUGACGCUGAGGUGCGAAAGGCUGGGGAGCAAACAGGAUUAGAUACCCUGGUAGGAUAGCG
This 449-nucleotide ribosomal RNA is filed under the name uncultured bacterium. RNAcentral describes it as "bacterial SSU rRNA". It matches the Rfam family "Bacterial small subunit ribosomal RNA", at positions 335 to 800 of the family's 1533-position model. The record is from RNAcentral.